RNAcentral lists this long non-coding RNA (911 nucleotides) under Eutrema salsugineum. RNAcentral describes it as "long non-coding RNA (ESAL_LNC002106)". The record is from RNAcentral. Lineage: Eukaryota; Viridiplantae; Streptophyta; Magnoliopsida; Brassicales; Brassicaceae.
GCUUUCUGGUCCGGUUCGUGGAGUCGGUGGACCAGCUCCGGGAAUGAUGCAGCCUCAGAUCUCUCGUCCGCCGCAGCUUUCAGCUCCUCCGAUUAUGCGACCUCCAGGACAGAUGCUUCCGCCGCCUCCGGCUUUUGGUGGUCAAGGUCCUCCUCCGAUGGGACGAGGUCCUCCUCCGCCUUAUGGUAUGAGGCCGCCACCGCAACAGCAGUUUCCUGGACCACCGCCUCCGUAUGGUCAAAGGCCAAUGGUUCCUCCGCCUGGUGGUAUGAUGAGAGGACCUCCUCCACCUCCUCAUGGGAUGCAAGGACCGCCUCCGCCUCGUCCUGGAAUGCCUCCUCCUCCUGGUGGUUUUGCUCCGCCGCGUCCUGGCAUGCCACCACCGCCUAAUCCCCAUAAUCAGCAGCAGUGAUUAGGUUAGCUAUGAGGUUGCCUUUUGUCUCGGCUUUUACUGUUUUUUUCUGCUGUUUCUUUGAGAUUGUGAAGGCAUUAUUAAGUUGUUUGAUUCGACUUAUCCUCAGGUUACAAUGUCGUGCUUUCAUGUUGCCUUUCAUAACUUGGCCGAAUUUCUGUUCUAUCUUAGCUUUGCAGAGUUUGUAGAUUUGUUGACGAGUGAUUGUCUUUGCAUUAUCUUCUUGUGUUUCUUUGAAAGAAGGAUUUCAGUAAACCUGGUUAUCUUCUUCUUAUUUUGCACCUGAAUAUUUAUGUUCAACGUGAAACAUCUAAAACUUUAUGAUUGCUGUACAGUGAUUAAGUCUUUUUAAGGUUGAAACAGCAACAUUCUUGCGCCAUUUUGAGAAAUUUAACGUCCUCUUAGAAACUAAUCAGAACUUGGUCGCCAUUAGUGAUCACAUCUGAGUCUUAUACGAAGAAGAGAUAAAUUGGUUAAUGACGCUUAAUUACCUCUCUGG